This 253-nucleotide ribosomal RNA is filed under the name uncultured bacterium. Its description in RNAcentral is "partial 16S ribosomal RNA". It matches the Rfam family "Bacterial small subunit ribosomal RNA", at positions 524 to 776 of the family's 1533-position model. The record is from RNAcentral.
UACGUAGGGGGCUAGCGUUGUCCGGAAUCAUUGGGCGUAAAGAGCGUGUAGGCGGUCCGGUAAGUCCGCUGCGAAAGUCGGGGGCUCAACCCUCGAAUGCCGGUGGAUACUGUCGGGCUAGAGUGCGGAAGAGGCGAGUGGAAUUCCUGGUGUAGCGGUGAAAUGCGCAGAUAUCAGGAGGAACACCGGUGGCGAAGGCGGAUCUCUGGGCCUUACCUGACGCUCAGGUGCGAAAGCUAGGGGAGCGAACAGG